UACAGAGGGUGCAAGCGUUAAUCGGAAUUACUGGGCGUAAAGCGUGCGUAGUCGGUUAUCUAAGUCGGGUGUGAAAUCCCGGGCUCAACCUGGGAAUUGCAUUCGAUACUGGAUAGCUAGAGUUCGGCAGGAGGGAAGCGGAAUUUCGGGUGUAGCGGUGAAAUGCGUAGAUAUCCGAAGGAACAUCAGUGGCGAAAGCGGCUUCCUGGACCAGAACUGACGAUCAGGCACGAAAGCGUGGGGAGCAAACAGGG
Molecule: ribosomal RNA, 254 nt
Filed under: uncultured bacterium
Lineage: Bacteria
Description: partial 16S ribosomal RNA
Rfam family: Bacterial small subunit ribosomal RNA
Source: RNAcentral